UACGUAGGGUGCAAGCGUUGUCCGGAAUUAUUGGGCGUAAAGAGCUCGUAGGCGGUUUGUCGCGUCUGCUGUGAAAACUCAGGGCUUAACUCUGAGCUUGCAGUGGGUACGGGCAGACUAGAGUGCGGUAGGGGGAGACUGGAAUUCCUGGUGUAGCGGUGAAAUGCGCAGAUAUCAGGAGGAACACCGGUGGCGAAGGCGGGUCUCUGGGCCGUAAACUGACGCUG
Molecule: ribosomal RNA, 227 nt
Filed under: uncultured bacterium
Lineage: Bacteria
Description: partial 16S ribosomal RNA
Rfam family: Bacterial small subunit ribosomal RNA
Source: RNAcentral